Molecule: ribosomal RNA, 484 nt
Filed under: Clostridioides difficile
Lineage: Bacteria; Bacillati; Bacillota; Clostridia; Peptostreptococcales; Peptostreptococcaceae
Description: partial 23S ribosomal RNA
Rfam family: Bacterial large subunit ribosomal RNA
Source: RNAcentral
GGAUGUGGGAUUGCACAGACAACCAGGAUGUUGGCUUAGAAGCAGCCACUCAUUCAAAGAGUGCGUAAUAGCUCACUGGUCGAGUGAUCCUGCGCCGAAGAUUUCCGGGGCUAAAACUUACUACCGAAGCUACGGCAUCAGUAAUGAUGGGUAGGGGAGCUUCCCAUACGGGUUGAAGCAUGACCGUAAGGACAUGUGGACAGUAUGGGAGUGAGAAUGUUGGCAUGAGUAGCGAGAUGUGGGUGAGAAUCCACAGGCCGUAAACCCAAGGUUUCCAGGGGAAGGUUCGUCCGCCCUGGGUUAGUCGGGACCUAAGCUGAGGCCGAAAGGCGUAGGUGAUGGACAACAGGUUGAUAUUCCUGUACUACCGAUAACCGUUUGAGAGAAGGGAUGACACAGUAGGAUAAGCUAAGCACACUGUUGGUUAUGUGUGCCCAAGCAUUGAGGCAGUCAAAGUAGGCAAAUCCGCUUUGAUAAUGCUGGG